UCAAUCAGAAAGAACAACGAA
Molecule: unclassified non-coding RNA, 21 nt
Filed under: Dictyostelium discoideum
Lineage: Eukaryota; Evosea; Eumycetozoa; Dictyosteliales; Dictyosteliaceae
Source: RNAcentral